AGAUUGAACGCUGGCGGAAUGCUUUACACAUGCAAGUCGAGCGGCAGCGCGGGGCAACCUGGCGGCGAGCGGCGAACGGGUGAGUAAUGCAUCGGAACAUGUCCAUGUCGUGGGGGAUAGCCCGGCGAAAGCCGGAUUAAUACCGCAUACGCCCGAGAGGGGAAAGUGGGGGACCGCAAGGCCUCACGCGAUUGGGUUGGCCGAUGUCCGAUUAGCUAGUUGGCGGGGUAAGAGCCCACCAAGGCGAUGAUCGGUAGCUGGUCUGAGAGGAUGAUCAGCCACACUGGGACUGAGACACGGCCCAGACUCCUACGGGAGGCAGCAGUGGGGAAUUUUGGACAAUGGGGGAAACCCUGAUCCAGCCAUUCCGCGUGAGUGAAGAAGGCCUUCGGGUUGUAAAGCUCUUUUGUCCGGAGCGAAACGGCGAGCGUGAACAUCGCUCGCUACUGACGGUACCGGAAGAAUAAGCACCGGCUAACCACGUGCCAGCAGCCGCGGUAAUACGUAGGGUGCGAGCGUUAAUCGGAAUUACUGGGCGUAAAGCGUGCGCAGGCGGUUUUGUAAGCCAGAUGUGAAAUCCCCGGGCUUAACCUGGGAAUGGCAUUUGGGACUGCAAGGCUUGAGUGCGGCAGAGGAGACUGGAAUUCCUGGUGUAGCAGUGAAAUGCGUAGAUAUCAGGAGGAAUACCGAUGGCGAAGGCAGGUCUCUGGGCUGACACUGACGCUCAUGCACGAAAGCGUGGGGAGCAAACAGGAUUAGAUACCCUGGUAGUCCACGCCCUAAACGAUGUCGACUGGUUGUUGGGGGUUUGACACUCUCAGUAACGAAGCUAACGCGUGAAGUCGACCGCCUGGGGAGUACGGCCGCAAGGUAAAACUCAAAG
This 883-nucleotide ribosomal RNA is filed under the name uncultured bacterium. RNAcentral's name for it is "bacterial SSU rRNA". It matches the Rfam family "Bacterial small subunit ribosomal RNA", at positions 26 to 906 of the family's 1533-position model. The record is from RNAcentral.